AGAGUUUGAUCCUGGCUCAGGACGAACGCUGGCGGCGUGCCUAACACAUGCAAGUCGAGCGAAUGAAGUUCCUUCGGGAAUGGAUUUAGCGGCGGACGGGUGAGUAACACGUGGGCAACCUGCCUCAUAGAGGGGAAUAGCCUUCCGAAAGGGAGAUUAAUACCGCAUAAGAUUGUAGUACCGCAUGGUACAGCAAUUAAAGGAGCAAUCCGCUAUGAGAUGGGCCCGCGGCGCAUUAGUUAGUUGGUGAGGUAAUGGCUCACCAAGGCGAUGAUAGGUAGGCGGCCUUAACGGGUGGUCGCCCACACUGGGAUUGAGAUACGGCCCAGACUCCUACGGGAGGCAGCAGUCGAGAAUAGUCUACAAUGGACGAAAGUCUGAUAGUGCGACGCCGCGUGAACGAAGACUCCCUAACAGGGUGUAAAGUUCUUUUAUAUGUGAGCAAUGGGUUAUAUAUUAAUAGUAUGUAGCCAGAGAUAUUAGCAUAUGAAUAAGCAACGGCUAACUCCGUGCCAGCAGCCGCGGUAACACGGGGGUUGCAAGCGUUGUCCGGAAUUACUAGGCGUAAAGGGCAGGUAGGCGGAUCAGUAAGUUUGAUGUCAAAUCCAUCGGCUCACCCGAUGAUCGGCAUCAGAUACUGCUGAUCUGGAAUACGGUUGAGGAAGACAGAAUUCCUGGUGUAGCGGUGGAAUGCGCAGAGAUCAGGAGGAAUACCAAAUGCGAAGGCAGUCUUCUAGGCCGUUAUUGACGCUAAACUGCGAAGGUGUGGGGAUCAAAAAAAAUUAGAUACCCUGGUAGUCCACACAGUAAACGAUAAUCCGGGGGGUCGGGUUCAAAAUAAACUCGGUGCCGUAAGCUAACGCGUUAAGUGAUUCGCCUGGGGAGUACGAUCGCAAGGUUGAAACUCAAAGGAAUUGACGGGGCCCCGCACAAGCGGGGGAGCAUGUGGUUUAAUUCGAUGCAACGCGAAGAACCUUACCCGGUCUUGACAUCCGUAGGAUCCUUCAGAGAUGAGGGAGUGCCUUUCGGGGAACUACGAGACAGGUGCUGUAUGGCUGUCGUCAGCUCGUGUCGUGAGAUGUUGGGUUAAGUCCCGCAACGAGCGCAACCCCUGCAUCCAGUUGCCAUCAUUAGGUUGGGGACUCUGGAUGGACCACUGCGGUAACAACGCAGAGGAAGGUGGGGACGACGUCAAGCAAUCAUGGUCCUUACGACCGGGGCUACACACGUGCUACAAUGGUAGUUACAGAGGGUUGCGAAGCCGUAAGGUGGAGCUAAUCUCAUAAAAGCUACGCAAGUUCGGAUUGAGGUCUGCAACUCGACCUCAUGAAGCUGGAAUCGCUAGUAAUCGCACAACAUCAUGGUGCGGUGAAUACGUUCCCGGGCCUUGUACACACCGCCCGUCAAG
RNAcentral lists this ribosomal RNA (1408 nucleotides) under uncultured bacterium. Its description in RNAcentral is "bacterial SSU rRNA". It matches the Rfam family "Bacterial small subunit ribosomal RNA". The record is from RNAcentral.